UCCGUGUUCUGCACCAGCUUGUGGAUCG
Molecule: small RNA, 28 nt
Filed under: Bombyx mori (domestic silkworm)
Lineage: Eukaryota; Metazoa; Arthropoda; Insecta; Lepidoptera; Bombycidae
Description: ovarian small RNA-7352
Source: RNAcentral